CUCACCCUGCAAUGUUUGUGCUUCAUAGAUUAUUUGAACCAACACCUAUCUUAUGGGAACCUAAAUCUUUGAAUGGUGUGUAGGUUUUACCAUGUGAAGCCUCCUAAUAUCAAAGAGUGGUGCCCACUUGUUUACUAGGUCCAAAUAACAUGUCUCACGGCAGCGCGGGGUUUUU
RNAcentral lists this non-coding RNA (175 nucleotides) under Terriglobia bacterium. RNAcentral's name for it is "6S RNA". It matches the Rfam family "6S / SsrS RNA". Rfam says of the family: E. coli 6S RNA was the first non coding RNA to be sequenced, but its function was unknown until recently. It consists of 184 nucleotides that fold into an extended hairpin structure with a large single-stranded internal bulge. The record is from RNAcentral. Lineage: Bacteria; Pseudomonadati; Acidobacteriota; Terriglobia.